This 523-nucleotide ribosomal RNA is filed under the name uncultured Clostridia bacterium. RNAcentral's name for it is "bacterial SSU rRNA". It matches the Rfam family "Bacterial small subunit ribosomal RNA", at positions 55 to 586 of the family's 1533-position model. Lineage: Bacteria; Bacillati; Bacillota; Clostridia. The record is from RNAcentral.
AUGCAAGUCGAGCGAAAAUAUAUUAAAGCUUGCUUUGAUAUAUUUUAGCGGCGGACGGGUGAGUAACACGUGGAUAAUCUACCUUUUACACAGGGAUAACAAUGAGAAAUCCUUGCUAAUACCGGAUAAGCUACCGUUGCCGCAUGGCAAAGGGAGAAAAGAUUUAUCGGUAAAAGAGGAGUCCGCGUCUGAUUAGCUAGUUGGUAGGGUAAGAGCCUACCAAGGCGACGAUCAGUAGCCGGCCUGAGAGGGUGAUCGGCCACAUUGGGACUGAGACACGGCCCAAACUCCUACGGGAGGCAGCAGUGGGGAAUAUUGCACAAUGGAGGAAACUCUGAUGCAGCAACGCCGCGUGAAUGAAGAAGGUUUUCGGAUUGUAAAGUUCUAUCGAUGGGGAAGAAAGAAAUGACUGUACCCAAGUAAGAAGUCCCGGCUAACUGCGUGCCAGCAGCCGCGGUAAUACGUAGGGGGCAAGCGUUAUCCAGAAUUACUGGGUGUAAAGGGUGAGUAGGUGGCUAGAUAA